CUCGUAGGCGGCUUGUCACGUCGGGUGUGAAAGCCCGGGACUUAACCCCGGGUCUGCAUUCGAUACGGGCUAGCUAGAGUGUGGUAGGGGAGAUCGGAAUUCCUGGUGUAGCGGUGAAAUGCGCAGAUAUCAGGAGGAACACCGGUGGCGAAGGCGGAUCUCUGGGCCAUUACUGACGCUGAGGAGCGAAAGCGUGGGGAGCGAACA
Molecule: ribosomal RNA, 207 nt
Filed under: uncultured bacterium
Lineage: Bacteria
Description: partial 16S ribosomal RNA
Rfam family: Bacterial small subunit ribosomal RNA
Source: RNAcentral